This 446-nucleotide ribosomal RNA is filed under the name Fusarium incarnatum. RNAcentral describes it as "eukaryotic LSU rRNA". The stretch from base 98 to 250 matches the Rfam family "5.8S ribosomal RNA". The record is from RNAcentral. Lineage: Eukaryota; Fungi; Ascomycota; Sordariomycetes; Hypocreales; Nectriaceae.
GGAUCAGCCCGCGCCCCGUAAAACGGGACGGCCCGCCCGAGGACCCCUAAACUCUGUUUUUAGUGGAACUUCUGAGUAAAACAAACAAAUAAAUCAAAACUUUCAACAACGGAUCUCUUGGUUCUGGCAUCGAUGAAGAACGCAGCAAAAUGCGAUAAGUAAUGUGAAUUGCAGAAUUCAGUGAAUCAUCGAAUCUUUGAACGCACAUUGCGCCCGCCAGUAUUCUGGCGGCAUGCCUGUUCGAGCGUCAUUUCAACCCUCAAGCUCAGCUUGGUGUUGGGACUCGCGGUAACCCGCGUUCCCCAAAUCGAUUGGCGGUCACGUCGAGCUUCCAUAGCGUAGUAAUCAUACACCUCGUUACUGGUAAUCGUCGCGGCCACGCCGUAAAACCCCAACUUCUGAAUGUUGACCUCGGAUCAGGUAGGAAUACCCGCUGAACUUAAGCA